GACGAACGCUGGCGGCGUGCCUAACACAUGCAAGUCGAGCGAACAGACCAGGCGCUGUCCCCUCUUGGCGUAGCGGUGGGUGGGUCAUUGACACUUGGACAACCUACCUGUAAGACUGGGGUAACAUUGGGAAACCUAAGCUAAUACCCGAUAAUAUAUUUAACCUCAUGGGUCAAGCGUUAGAGACGGUUUUUGUGCCACUGACAUAUGGACCGGCGGCGGAUUAGCUAGUUGGUAAGGUAGCGGCUUAGCAAGGCAACGAUGAGUAGCAGACCUGAGAGGGUGAUCGGCCAGACUGGCACUGAGACACGGUCCAGACUCCUAAGGGAGGCAGCGGUAGGGACUCUUCCGCAAUGGGCGAAAGCGUGACAGAGCAACGCCGCGUAAGUGAUGAAGGUCUUCGGAUCCUAAAGCUCUGAUAUUAGGGAAGAACUAAAGUGUGAGUAACUAUGCACGUCUUGACGGUACCUAGUCAAAAAGCCACGGCUAACUACGUG
RNAcentral lists this ribosomal RNA (497 nucleotides) under uncultured bacterium. RNAcentral describes it as "partial 16S ribosomal RNA". It matches the Rfam family "Bacterial small subunit ribosomal RNA", at positions 28 to 507 of the family's 1533-position model. The record is from RNAcentral.